Molecule: unclassified non-coding RNA, 211 nt
Filed under: plant metagenome
Description: partial contains small subunit ribosomal RNA, internal transcribed spacer 1, and 5.8S ribosomal RNA
Source: RNAcentral
UUUCCGUAGGUGAACCUGCGGAAGGAUCAUUCAUAAUAAAGUGUUUUAUGGCACUUUUUAAAAACCCAUAUCCACCUUGUGUGCAAUGUUAGAUCUCGUCAAUCUUGGCGAGAUUUUUAUACAUCAACUCAUUCUUUAACUAAUUUGUCUGAAAAAUAUUAUGAAUACUUAAUUCAAAAUACAACUUUCAACAACGGAUCUCUUGGCUCUC